AUAGUCCGGAGUAUAAGACCUAGCAUUGUUCAAAUUCAUGAAGAAAGUCUCAAAUUCACUAUUUUGCAUUGGUUUAUCAAUGAAAUUAAAAUAGAGUAAAGGCACAGGGAUCCCAUUUCAAAUAAAAAGAAAAUCUACAAAACAAUUUAGUUCUCAUCGCAUUUAUAUCCUCUUGGAAGUAAGUAUUAUUAAGCGAUAUAUAAUUCGUAUAAAUUGUCAUUUAUACCAAUAAAUUUCACAUACUUUCAAUAAAAAAAUGAGAAGAAUAUUUGGGAUUUCUUGAUUUAUUGGUGUUAUUAAAUUUUUACAAGAGCAUGAAAAUGUUUAAUAAUGAUAUUGUAUCACCUGUCGUCUUCA
Xenia sp. Carnegie-2017 is the source of this 357-nucleotide long non-coding RNA. RefSeq lists it as uncharacterized. The record is from RefSeq and is a predicted model, not a curated record. The transcript is spliced from 2 exons. NCBI's taxonomy places the organism in Eukaryota, Metazoa, Cnidaria, Anthozoa, Malacalcyonacea, Xeniidae.